This 46-nucleotide non-coding RNA is filed under the name Trichobilharzia regenti. Lineage: Eukaryota; Metazoa; Platyhelminthes; Trematoda; Strigeidida; Schistosomatidae. The record is from RNAcentral.
GUACCGAUGAAGAGUCCCAAAAUAGGACGAAACAACUGUCCAGUAC